This 253-nucleotide ribosomal RNA is filed under the name uncultured bacterium. RNAcentral's name for it is "partial 16S ribosomal RNA". It matches the Rfam family "Bacterial small subunit ribosomal RNA", at positions 524 to 776 of the family's 1533-position model. The record is from RNAcentral.
UACGUAGGGACCAAGCGUUGUCCGGAAUCACUGGGCGUAAAGGGCGCGUAGGCGGCUCGGUAAGUAGGGGGUGAAAUCCUGCGGCUUAACCGCAGGGCUGCCUUCUAAACUGUCGAGCUUGAGCACGGUAGAGGCAGAUGGAAUUCCCGGUGUAGCGGUGGAAUGCGUAGAGAUCGGGAAGAACAUCAGUGGCGAAGGCGGUCUGCUGGGCCGUUGCUGACGCUGAGGCGCGACAGCGUGGGGAGCAAACAGG